AGGAAUUUCCGAGAGAAACGAAGAAAAGAGAAUUUUCUAGAUUUAAUUUUGAAAAGACGAAUUGCAAGACGAAUAGUAAGGAAUUUCCGAGAGAAACGACGCAAAGAUACUUUUUUGGAUUUAUUUUUGAAAAAACGAAUUGCUAGACAAAUAGUUAGGAAUUUCCGAGAAAACCGCAGAAAAGAGAAGGAAGAAUCAAACUAAAGAGAGAGAACUACGAAAUGAAAUAAUUCGAUCAUCAAUUCAUACUUAAAAUAAUUAUUAUUAUUAAGGACAUCGGUCAGUCAUGUCCGUCAUUCGGUGAAGUUAAAUGAAACUUAUUCAAAGUUUGUCUGCUGAAAACUCUGACACACAUCUUGAAAUUAUCUUGUUUAAUUUUUUGAUUAAAGUAAAAUAGAGAGUAUAUUAAACUAAUUUAUUUAAACACUGGUCACAUUAAGUGAAAGUUGAAAAUAAAAUAAAUGUGACUUAUUCAAGCCGAGAACACAAAUUAUGGAGUAUUAUUUAUUGCAAUAAUGAUUAUUAUUUUUAAUCAACAGCUUAAUACAUAUUCACAAUCACAUUGUAUUACUAUUUUAAACAUCAAAUUGUACAGAAGAACUUAAUAAAUAAAUUAUAAACAAUCAAACUUGAUUAGCCUUAAUAGUCAAUGUGCUCAUGUUUUUGUAAAAUACAGUCGCCGUCGUAUAUUUCAAUACAAUGACGACGAUUUUUUUAAUUAAGUUUUGAUUUAU
This is a long non-coding RNA of Eurytemora carolleeae, 734 nucleotides long. RefSeq lists it as uncharacterized. Lineage: Eukaryota; Metazoa; Arthropoda; Copepoda; Calanoida; Temoridae. The record is from RefSeq and is a predicted model, not a curated record. The transcript is spliced from 3 exons.